UAAAGAGUUAUAAAGAAAACUCCCAAACCCAUGUGAACAUACCUUACGUUGCCUCGGCAGGUCGCGCCUGCCCUGUAGUCCCCUACCCUGUAGGGGCUACCCGGUAGUCGCGGGUGCUCCUGCCGAUGGCCCAAGAAACACUCUGCUCUCUAUAGAAUUCUGAACUUAUAACUUAAUACGUUAAAACUUUCAACAACGGAUCUCUUGGUUCUGGCAUCGAUGAAGAACGCAGCGAAAUGCGAUAAGUAAUGUGAAUUGCAGAAUUCAGUGAAUCAUCGAAUCUUUGAACGCAUAUUGCGCCCAUUAGUAUUCUAGUGGGCAUGCCUGUUCGAGCGUCAUUUCAACCCUUAAGCCCCUGUUGCUUAGCGUUGGGAGCCUACAGUUCUGCUGUAGCUUCUCAAAGUUAGUGGCGGAGUCGGUUCACACUCUAGACGUAGUAAAUUUUAUCUCGUCUGCAGUUGCGCCGGCCCCUUGCCAUAAAACCCCCUAAUUUUUUAAAAAGGUUGACCUCGGAUCAGGUAGGAAUACC
This 529-nucleotide ribosomal RNA is filed under the name fungal sp. E15807C. RNAcentral's name for it is "eukaryotic LSU rRNA". The stretch from base 185 to 338 matches the Rfam family "5.8S ribosomal RNA". Lineage: Eukaryota; Fungi. The record is from RNAcentral.